RNAcentral lists this ribosomal RNA (473 nucleotides) under uncultured organism. RNAcentral describes it as "partial 16S ribosomal RNA". It matches the Rfam family "Bacterial small subunit ribosomal RNA", at positions 332 to 797 of the family's 1533-position model. The record is from RNAcentral.
UACACUCCUGCGGGAGGCAGCAGUGGGGAAUAUUGCACAAUGGGCGCAAGCCUGAUGCAGCCAUGCCGCGUGUAUGAAGAAGGCCUUCGGGUUGUAAAGUACUUUCAGCGGGGAGGAAGGCAAUACGGUUAAUAACCGUGUUGAUUGACGUUACCCGCAGAAGAAGCACCGGCUAACUCCGUGCCAGCAGCCGCGGUAAUACGGAGGGUGCAAGCGUUAAUCGGAAUUACUGGGCGUAAAGCGCACGCAGGCGGUCUGUCAAGUCGGAUGUGAAAUCCCCGGGCUCAACCUGGGAACUGCAUUCGAAACUGGCAGGCUUGAGUCUUGUAGAGGGGGGUAGAAUUCCAGGUGUAGCGGUGAAAUGCGUAGAGAUCUGGAGGAAUACCGGUGGCGAAGGCGGCCCCCUGGACAAAGACUGACGCUCAGGUGCGAAAGCGUGGGGAGCAAACAGGAUUAGAUACCCUAGUAGUCCC